This is a long non-coding RNA of Clupea harengus (Atlantic herring), 841 nucleotides long. The record is from Ensembl. NCBI's taxonomy places the organism in Eukaryota, Metazoa, Chordata, Actinopteri, Clupeiformes, Clupeidae.
GUGCCAAGCGCUCUUGGCAACAGAUGAAGUAAUAACGCGUCCCCUUUAAUUUGCCCACGCUGUACAUCGGGAAGGAGUGGUACAGCGCAGAGGGAUCGGCACUCUCUGAAGUCCCUUUGUAUGCGCGGCAUUGCCUAACUGCAGCCUAGAGCGUUGAUUGUAAUAGACAUAUCGUGUGAAAUUAUCAGCAAAUGAAAGGAGAAAAACAGAGGCUAUUAUAUGCUGCCGCCUUGUUUAAAAAAAAAAAAAACCGGGUGAACAAAGAGCUGAAAUUGUACAAGGACUACCUUAGAUGCUGUUGCAGACAACGUUAUUAGUAGUGACACUGGGGGCGUCAGAUUUAGCUUAUCCCAGCAUAUCCAGAUGACGAUUAUAGGGGGGCUCUUGGAGAUAUUAAAAUACAGCUUGACAAGCUCAACACUUCGUGCUCCCGAUUACUCCGCACUCUGCUUCCCCUGAAGCAACCAAAUUCUUGUGGCUGGAGACGCAAAAAGAGCAGGACUCUUCCGCAUCUUCCUGUGUGCGGUUCCUUCCAUGCCCAGCGCUCUGUUGUCGGAGCCCCCAGUUGCUGCAGAGCAGCUCUACGAUGAAUAAAUACAAGAAGUACCUUUGACGGACGCCUAGACAUGCCUGGGGAAAGGAAAACAACACCGUUAUGACACAAAGUGACAUCUACAGAAGCGUGUAAAUGUGUCAAAGACCUGUAAUUGCAAUCGUGGCCGUUGACAAAGGUGUUAUUCAUAGAUAACGUCUGGUGACCUGGAGUCUGAACGUGUGAACCGUGCUUCUCUCCUUCUCCUUGGCCGCAUAUCACAGAGGUGCCACCCUCACCCACCCCCCC